RNAcentral lists this ribosomal RNA (440 nucleotides) under uncultured bacterium. Its description in RNAcentral is "partial 16S ribosomal RNA". It matches the Rfam family "Bacterial small subunit ribosomal RNA", at positions 338 to 795 of the family's 1533-position model. The record is from RNAcentral.
CCUACGGGAGGCAGCAGUGGGGAAUAUUGCACAAUGGGGGAAACCCUGAUGCAGCGACGCCGCGUGAGUGAAGAAGUUUCUCGGUACGUAAAGCUCUUUCAGCAGGGAAGCAAAUGACGGUACCUGACUAAGAAGCCCCGGCUAACUACGUGCCAGGAGCCGCGGUAAUACGUAGGGGGCAAGCGUUAUCCGGAUUUACUGGGGGUAAAGGGAGCGUAGACGGCUGCACAUGUCUGGAGUGAAAUCCCGGGGCUUAACCCCGGAACUGCUUUGGAAACUGGGCGGCUGGAGUGGAGGAGGGGUAAGGAGAAUUCCUGGUGUAGCGGGGAAAUGCGUAGAUAUUAGGAGGAACACCGGUGGCGAAGGCGGCAUACUGGACUAAGACUGACGUUGAGGCGCGAAAGCGUGGGGAGCAAACAGGAUUAGAUACCCGAGUAGUC